CCCUUAGAUGUUCUGGGCCGCACGCGCGCUACACUGACUGGUGCAACAAGUGUCGCUCCUUGGCCGAUAGGCCUGGGCAAUCUUUGAACGCCAGUCGUGAUGGGGAUAGAUUCUUGCAAUUUUUGAUCUUCAACGAGGAAUUCCUAGUAAACGCGAGUCAUCAACUCGCAUUGAUUACGUCCCUGCCCUUUGUACACACCGCCCGUCGCACCUACCGAUUGAAUGGUCCGGUGAACCCUCCGGAUCGGCCCGCGCCAACGCAAGUUGAGCAAAGGCCGAGAAGUUGGGUAAACCUUACCAUUUAGAGGAAGGUGAAGUCGUAAUA
RNAcentral lists this ribosomal RNA (325 nucleotides) under uncultured eukaryote. RNAcentral's name for it is "partial 18S ribosomal RNA". It matches the Rfam family "Eukaryotic small subunit ribosomal RNA", at positions 1470 to 1796 of the family's 1831-position model. The record is from RNAcentral.